RNAcentral lists this transfer RNA (77 nucleotides) under Candidatus Bathyarchaeota archaeon. RNAcentral describes it as "tRNA-Gly". It matches the Rfam family "tRNA". From Rfam's summary of the family: Transfer RNA (tRNA) molecules are approximately 80 nucleotides in length. Their secondary structure includes four short double-helical elements and three loops (D, anti-codon, and T loops). Lineage: Archaea; Thermoproteati; Candidatus Bathyarchaeota. The record is from RNAcentral.
GCCGCGGUAGCUCAGCCUGGGAGAGCGUCCGACUCCCCACCGGAAUGCCGAGUGUUCAAAUCACUCCCGCGGCACCA